UGCGUAGGCGGGCCUUUAAGUCAGUGGUGAAAGCUCCGAGCUUAACUCGGAAACUGCCAUUGAUACUAUUGGUCUUGAAUUCGGUCGAGGUUGGCGGAAUGUGUCGUGUAGCGGUGAAAUGCUUAGAUAUGACACAGAACACCGAUUGCGAAGGCAGCUAGCUAGACCGACAUUGACGCUGAGGCACGAAAGCGUGGGGAUCAAACAGGAUUAGAAACCCUGGUAGUCCACGCCCUAAACUAUGAUUACUCGAUGUUGGCGAUACACUGCCAGCGUCUAAGCGAAAGCAUUAAGUAAUCCACCUGGGGAGUACGAUCGCAAGAUUGAA
RNAcentral lists this ribosomal RNA (328 nucleotides) under uncultured Chitinophaga sp. RNAcentral's name for it is "bacterial SSU rRNA". It matches the Rfam family "Bacterial small subunit ribosomal RNA", at positions 568 to 898 of the family's 1533-position model. The record is from RNAcentral. Lineage: Bacteria; Pseudomonadati; Bacteroidota; Chitinophagia; Chitinophagales; Chitinophagaceae.